AGGCAGCAGUGAGGAUAUUGGUCAAUGGGCGSUAGCCUGAACCAGCCAAGUAGCGUGAAGGAUGAAGGCUCUAUGGGUCGUAAACUUCUUUUAUAUAAGAAUAAAGUGCAGUAUGUAUACUGUUUUGUAUGUAUUAUAUGAAUAAGGAUCGGCUAACUCCGUGCCAGCAGCCGCGGUAAUACGGAGGAUCCGAGCGUUAUCCGGAUUUAUUGGGUUUAAAGGGAGCGUAGGUGGACUGGUAAGUCAGUUGUGAAAGUUUGCGGCUCAACCGUAAAAUUGCAGUUGAUACUGUCAGUCUUGAGUACAGUAGAGGUGGGCGGAAUUCGUGGUGUAGCGGUGAAAUGCUUAGAUAUCACGA
RNAcentral lists this ribosomal RNA (358 nucleotides) under uncultured Bacteroides sp. Its description in RNAcentral is "bacterial SSU rRNA". It matches the Rfam family "Bacterial small subunit ribosomal RNA", at positions 346 to 702 of the family's 1533-position model. Lineage: Bacteria; Pseudomonadati; Bacteroidota; Bacteroidia; Bacteroidales; Bacteroidaceae. The record is from RNAcentral.